UAGAGAAUCUUCGGCAAUGGACGAAAGUCUGACCGAGCAACGCCGCGUGAGUGAAGAAGGUUUUCGGAUCGUAAACUCUGUUGUUAGAGAAGAACAAGGGUGAGAGUAACUGUUCACCCCUUGACGGUAUCUAACCAGAAAGCCACGGCUAACUACGUGCCAG
Molecule: ribosomal RNA, 163 nt
Filed under: uncultured bacterium
Lineage: Bacteria
Description: partial 16S rRNA
Rfam family: Bacterial small subunit ribosomal RNA
Source: RNAcentral